ACGAACGCUGGCGGCGUGCCUAACACAUGCAAGUCAACUUGACUGAAGGAGCAAUCUGACAGUAGAGUGGCGCAAGGGUGCGUAACGCGUAAGUAACUUGCCCAAGGUAAGGAAUAACGUCGAGAAUCGGCGCUAAUACCUCAUAAUGCAGCGGAUCCGCAUGGAUGUGUUGUUAAAGGUUUACCGCCUUGGGAUAGGCUUGCGUCUGAUUAGCUAGUUGGUGUGGUAACGGCACACCAAGGCUACGAUCAGUAACUGGUCUGAGAGGAUGAUCAGUCACACUGGAACUGAGACACGGUCCAGACUCCUACGGGAGGCAGCAGUGAGGAAUAUUGGGCAAUGCUCGAAAGAGUGACCCAGCAACGCCGCGUGGAGGAUGAAGGUAUUCUAUAUCGUAAACUCCUGUGAGAGCAGACGAAAGACAGAUUAUUAAUCUGGAUGACUGUAUGCUCAGAGGAAGCCCCGGCUAACUACGUG
Molecule: ribosomal RNA, 477 nt
Filed under: uncultured bacterium
Lineage: Bacteria
Description: bacterial SSU rRNA
Rfam family: Bacterial small subunit ribosomal RNA
Source: RNAcentral